Molecule: long non-coding RNA, 327 nt
Filed under: Gossypium barbadense (sea-island cotton)
Lineage: Eukaryota; Viridiplantae; Streptophyta; Magnoliopsida; Malvales; Malvaceae
Description: long non-coding RNA (GBAR_LNC020554)
Source: RNAcentral
CCAUCUACAACUGCAGGACCCGUCAAAGAGGGUUUGGGGUGGCAGAGUCAGCAGUUGUUGACUGAAAGGUUAAUAUGUGACAGAAGGAUAUUCAGGUGUGGGAGGCUUUCCCCAUACUUAAAAAACAUCCUACAAGCUUGUUACUGCAGGAUGAAAGAGAGUUUUAUCUUAAUACAGAGGAGGCUUUUUUUUAUGUGGAAGAGUCCACGCUAGGGUUUAGUGUGGUGUCUUUCCACCAAAAUGCUAUGAAGCAACUAUCCGGAUUAAGAACUUAUAAAAUGCUAGAAAACUCGGAACCUAUUCCUUAGUACAAAAAGGUCUUACAUU